RNAcentral lists this ribosomal RNA (440 nucleotides) under uncultured bacterium. Its description in RNAcentral is "partial 16S ribosomal RNA". It matches the Rfam family "Bacterial small subunit ribosomal RNA", at positions 338 to 795 of the family's 1533-position model. The record is from RNAcentral.
CCUACGGGUGGCAGCAGUGGGGAAUAUUGCACAAUGGGGGGAACCCUGAUGCAGCAACGCCGCGUGGGUGAAGAAGUACUCCGGUAUGUAAAGCCCUGUCAGCAGGGAAGAAAAUGACGGUACCUGACCAAGAAGCCCCGGCUAACUACGUGCCCGCCGCCGCGGUAAUACGUAGGGGGCAAGCGUUAUCCGGAUUUACUGGGUGUAAAGGGAGCGUAGACGGCAAGGCAAGCCUGGAGUGAAAGCCCGGGGCCCAACCACGGGACUGCUUUGGAAACUGUGUUGCUGGAGUGCAGGAGGGGUAAGCGGAAUUCCUAGUGUAGCGGUGAAAUGCGUAGAUAUUAGGAGGAACACCGGUGGCGAAGGCGGCUUACUGGACUGUAACUGACGUUGAGGCUCGAAGGCGUGGGGAGCAAACAGGAUUAGAUACCCGAGUAGUC